Long non-coding RNA from Calidris pugnax (ruff), 610 nucleotides. RefSeq lists it as uncharacterized. The record is from RefSeq and is a predicted model, not a curated record. NCBI's taxonomy places the organism in Eukaryota, Metazoa, Chordata, Aves, Charadriiformes, Scolopacidae. The transcript is spliced from 3 exons.
CCUUUCUUGUAACACACAGCUUAUAAUUACUAUGUAACUUAGAUGGUCUCAAAAGAAGGAAUUGUGUUGUGUUUAAGUUGCUAACAUGAUUGUAUUAAUCUCCCAGCUGCUAAUUAAUCUUUUCAGUUAUCUGUGCCUCCCUUUCCUUACUGAUUAUGUAGCAAGAAGGUGCCUUUUUUUUCCUUCUUGCUUAAACUGUAAUCUUUUCGGAUUUGGCUGUAUCGACUUCAUUGUAGUUUGCUUGAGUCCUCUAAAGGCACCUCACGGAGAAGAAGAGAUGCUUCUCUUUGGUUUCCAUGCACCCACUGACAUUGGAGAUACCUGCUUUAAGUGCUUUUUCAUCUCCCCGUGUUUGGUAGGACCAAGCUCCUUACCAGGAGUCUAGCGGCUCCAGCCAGGCAUGAGGACCUCUGUGUCUGCCAAGCAGUCAAGAAGCCUCUUUUACCUAAAGGGGCCAACUCACGUAUGACAAAAGUGUUUUAUUUAAGGUUUGCUCUCCACGUGGUAAAACGUAACUGCUCCUGACUGACUUUCUGAUGCCCGAGCCACCUAAGUUAUGACAAAGGAAAUCGGCAUGAGCUGAGAAGAACAACAGAGGAUGCUCUCCUGG